UCUCUAUUAUUAUUGUAGCUAGUGUUUAUCCAAAAAAUAGAUAACAAUUAUCAAAUAAUAAAAUAGCAACUUGCAUUUAUUCUUUGGUUUGAAUUAGACAAUCUUAUCAUUUCUAGAUUUUCUAGUCUCUUUAUAGCUCCUCCUUUGAUCCUCAUCAUUUUCGUUGCCAAGUUGUGUAGCAUCUCUAACAUUCUCCUGCUUUUUUUGCUGAGACGGAAGGCACAAUUUGGUUCAAAAAUUGAGAGUUACUAUGGAUAUUGGUUUGAUGAAGAAGCCAACAAUGAUUUUUAUCUUCAUUUUUGCAAAGAUAUGUCAUCUGUGUAUAUAAGCAUUUCAAAUGCUUUCCAUACUGCAUGGUUUGUGUCUUAGCCUAUAACAAGUCUGGGGCUUUCUUCACACUGCUCCGAUGAUCCAACCAAGAAUGAAAGGACAACAAGAAUUAUGUGCCUGGAAAUUGACCUUGAUGACUUUUACAAGAGAAUGCUACUACUCAAGAAGAAGAAAUAUGCAACAGUAAAAGUGCAAUUUAAG
Molecule: long non-coding RNA, 531 nt
Organism: Olea europaea var. sylvestris
Lineage: Eukaryota; Viridiplantae; Streptophyta; Magnoliopsida; Lamiales; Oleaceae
Exons: 2
Source: RefSeq, a predicted model, not a curated record